GACGAACCGUGCGAACGUUGUUCGGAAUCACUGGGCUUAAAGGGUGCGUAGGCGGGUCAUCAAGUCCGGGGUGAAAUCCUCCCGCUCAACGGGAGAAGUGCCUUGGAUACUGAUGGUCUUGAGCGGGGUAGGGGCAUGUGGAACUUCCGGUGGAGCGGUGAAAUGCGUAGAUAUCGGAAGGAACGCCGGUGGCGAAAGCGACGUGCUGGACCCCUUCUGACGCUGAGGCACGAAAGCCAGGGGAGCGAACGGG
RNAcentral lists this ribosomal RNA (253 nucleotides) under uncultured bacterium. Its description in RNAcentral is "partial 16S ribosomal RNA". It matches the Rfam family "Bacterial small subunit ribosomal RNA", at positions 524 to 776 of the family's 1533-position model. The record is from RNAcentral.